Molecule: ribosomal RNA, 253 nt
Filed under: uncultured bacterium
Lineage: Bacteria
Description: partial 16S ribosomal RNA
Rfam family: Bacterial small subunit ribosomal RNA
Source: RNAcentral
GACAGAGGGUGCAAACGUUGUUCGGAAUUACUGGGCGUAAAGCGUGUGUAGGCGGUUUGCUAAGUCGGGUGUGAAAGCCCCGGGCUCAACCCGGGAAGUGCACUCGAAACUGGCAGGCUAGAGUAUCGGAGAGGUUGGUGGAGUUCUCGGUGUAGAGGUGAAAUUCGUAGAUAUCGAGAGGAACACCGGUGGCGAAGGCGGCCAACUGGACGAAUACUGACGCUGAGACACGAAAGCGUGGGGAGCAAACAGG